RNAcentral lists this ribosomal RNA (440 nucleotides) under uncultured bacterium. RNAcentral's name for it is "partial 16S ribosomal RNA". It matches the Rfam family "Bacterial small subunit ribosomal RNA", at positions 338 to 795 of the family's 1533-position model. The record is from RNAcentral.
CCUACGGGUGGCAGCAGUAGGGAAUAUUGCUCAAUGGGGGAAACCCUGAUGCAGCAACGCCGCGUGGGGGAUGAAGGUUUUCGGAUCGUAAACUCCUGUUGUUAGAGAAGAUAAUGACGGUAUCUAACGAAUAAGCACCGGCUAACUCCGUGCCAGCAGCCGCGGUAAUACGGAGGGUGCAAGCGUUACUCGGAAUCACUGGGCGUAAAGAGAGCGUAGGCGGGAUAGCAAGUCAGAUGUGAAAUCCUAUGGCUUAACCAUAGAACUGCAUUUGAAACUGUUCUUCUAGAGUAUGGGAGAGGUAAGUGGAAUUCCUGGUGUAGGGGUAAAAUCCGUAGAGAUGAAGAGGAAGACUCGUUGCGAAGGCGACCUGCUAGACUGUAACUGACGCUGAGGCGCGAAAGCGUGGGGAGCAAACAGGAUUAGAUACCCGAGUAGUC